AACUUGAAACUAUGCAGCACUGAACCCAGUGUGAGAAAUCGAAAGCCAAGACCAUGGCUCUGGGAUAGGUCUGAAUGAUGUGGCUCAGCUUGAAGGAUACUUCAAGUCAACCAUUGGCUAUACUAUAUAUUGAAGUGUAUAGACAGCUUCUUCGCUCGAAACAGAGGUAGGAGUAUCAAGGAUCUAGUGCUAGGUACUAUGAGGAUACAGCACAACAUAGGCGUGCCAAUCGUAAUUGAAAGGUAAUGUGAAUAGCAUUGCCCUAGAAUCCUAAAACCUGAUGGCGUCGAAAACCAUGCAGUAAGUAGGAAAUUCGAAUCAAGGUGGCAGAACACAAGAAAACGUAUGUAGAAAUGCAUACGAAAUAAAUCGUCAGAAAGUUGGUGUAAGUAGCUAAAGCGUGUUCAGUUCUAAACUAGACUGGAAAGAUCCGCACAAGUAGAAUGCGAAAAACUCUAUUUUUGACUGAAUGGUUAGUGAACAUGGCAGGUAUCAAUCCUGUUACAGCUUGGGUCCCUUCGGGGACUGGUAAUAAAAGUCGAAGACCGUACAUCUUCAGGCUCAGGUUAUUAUUCUGUAUGGCUCAAUCCGUAGUAGUAUUUUAAGUAAGGGGAAGCCCUCUGUGCUGUAUAGUUUUAAG
The submitters of this non-coding RNA (640 nucleotides) gave its source as unclassified sequences. The record is from Rfam.